CUCGAGUUCAGAGGUGUGCUCCUCCAAUCAAAGCAUUUUAGGGUGAUGUGCUGGUAACCUCUCCCCUGUAUAAUGCAAAACCACUACUGUUCCAAGAGAGAAGAAGGAACACCCGCUCUGCUGAAACCACCAAGAUCCAAGGAUUCCUGACUACAAAAGACAUGGAGAAUUGGCCUUGGUGGCAAAGACGGAGCAUUGUACAUUCGCAGGGAGGGAGUUGCGGGAUGUAUUCUUGGGAAUGUGGAGUGAAGUGGUGGAGUGGGUUUAUUCCAGGGGUUGGAAUCUGUGCUUAUGGGCAAGUACCAUCAGAAUGCAUGGCCCUCCCUAAUUGGCUUCCGGAUGAUAAAUACCAAAAAUGCUUUACUACCACGAACAUUACUCCCACCAUCCCCUCCACCUUUGCCACCACUCCUGUAAGUUACCCAAAUACAAAUGAUAUUGUAUAUUUUAAUGAAACCUAUUGGCCAAGACCUUCACAUCUGAGUGACUUAUUGAAAUUUUGUUUAGAAAAUCUAUUUUUUAAAGUUCAGAAUAAUUCAUAUGAGAGAACAAUUGAAUGGAAAAUGAAUGGAUCAGUGGAAAUAGAAAUAUAUGAUAUCACUACAGAUGAACCCCGAGAAUCAGAAUUUAAGAUUAGAGGGUUCUAUAGCGAUGUAGAUUUGAUGGUCGUUCCUGGAGUCUGUAAAUUGUUAGAUGAAAGAGGCCCUUAUUGUUAUUUGGUCUCCCAAUUAGUGAAUAACCAAACAUAUACCCAAAGAGUUUGUUCUGUCACUGGAAAUUUUACCUGUACUGAAAUUAUUCCAGUAACUCAUAAUUUAACCUGUACCAUAUUGCAAUAUACCCCCUCAUAUGCCAUUAAUGCUAAUGCCUCUCGGAAGUAUAUGAAAGUGUUUAGCCAACAGAUGUGGUAUAGUGCUGUACCAGAAAGAGAUGUAGUAGGAUACUGAUGGACUGUGAUUAAUGCUACAUUAGAGACUAUAAAAUUCACACUGCCCUUGUCCAGUUUUCAGAUUACCUCUACAUAUCCAAAUUGCUCAAGAGGGGCUGCCAUUAGGUUAACACAAAAAGGGCCUGGGUAUCCUCUAGAAAGAAGAGGGACUUAGCUGGAUCCCUAUGGGAUGGGGCCAAUAGUGAGCAGCAAUUUGGAAUAUUUAUAAAACCAAGAACAUGAAGAGAAAUUAGGACAAUUGGAAAAAGCCACUGGCCUUAUAACUGGAGCACAACUAACCCAGGUUCAGGCUGGAGUGGAUGAAUUACGUGUUAUCUCCGCCCUUAGUUCGAUGACCCAGAAGCUGUUAACAGAGAUGGUACUGAAUAUCACUGAGGCUGGGAAGGCAUUGCAGUGGGAUCUGGCUUGCUCAGAAAUCCAGGAUUUCCAUUCGGAAUGAUCUAAAGCAUCAGGCCUGGCCUACUGCCCUUACAGACACUUCAGGAGUAUCAUCUGAGCUGUGGCCAUGGAGACACACUUGGAGAUUUUCUGUGUGGAGGUGCAAACAUUCACAGCAAACAUUCACAGUGUUCCUUCCAAGCAUACAGACCGGUUGGAGGGAUGUGGGCUCCCACAUACCAUAUCCUUCCGGGUCCGUGGGGAGGAUGCAUGUGGGACUGGGUAAUUCACUGAGACAUUUGGGAACUUUGACUACCGGGUAUGCCUAAUCGAUUUUUAGUCAGUGCUCCCAGAAUAACACCCGACAUUUGGAUAGGGAAAGGGAGUCAAUGGACAUUCUGGCCGUUGGAACCCCCACAGCUUCAGUGUGUACGGAAACUGAAGCUCGGGGAAGUUGUCACUGUUCAUGACAAUGUUUGUUGGGAGGGUAUGGAACAAGGAACUACACUGACAGGACACCUACUCUUCUAAGCUAAUGAUAGCUGUGUUCAUGUUGAAGCCACCAUGUUACAAGAUAUUCAUUUUUAUCUCACCACUGCUGCAGGCAACCAUAUUAUUUACUGGCCUACAGAUAGAAUCUUUCAAUCAGCCCUUAGGUUUCAGAUACCCUUUAACUGGACUACCCUAAUACCUGAUCGAUUCCAAAAUUUACUUUCACUCCUACCAGAGAUUCAGAAAAUUUCUGAGUUACAAGGGCAACUUCAUAUGCUUCAAAAUAUAUAUCAAGUUGAAAAGUAUACCGCUUAUAGAAUGUCUACCUUAUGUACUAAGUAUGAUGUAUUGUGUUUUGUGACUAAAAUUGUGCAACAACCCCAUUAUAGUAUUAUUGUGGGCAUGUUAUUGCUUGUAUUGUUGUUAUUUAGUUUAGGGUUGUGUUAUUGUUGUUGUAAAGGACGUAAUAAUACUUUUCAUGUCCAUACUAACCAUGCAUUAUCAUUGUAUCCAAUUAAAACCCCUAAAGUUGAAGUAUUUGAUGCUGAGUUUGAAAUACAAAAUUUAAUGAGAAUGGAAGUUUAAAAAUUGAUAGGUGUGCUGGAAACACAAAAGGGGGAGUAUGGAAGUAGAUAAAGGGAAUUUGGACACAGGCCUCUAUAUUGAGCAGGAGUCAGGCUAACUCUAGCUUUAAUAACGUGAGAUUUGUAGAAGCGGGGAUAGUGCGAAUCGAGUGGAAAACAACGGUGAAAGAAGCUAUUGUGACCUUGUAUUAGAUAAGAAUAGAAUGCAGACUAUAACAGAAAUGGUAAGAAAAAUAAGAUAUCAUGAAGGAAUAGGUAUGAACAAUAUGCAGUUGUGGCGUAUUAUUGUCUGUAAUAAAGGUAUAAAUACUUGCUCUAAUUGUUUAUCUGGCAGAGACCUGCCUAGGUGAGGGGAAACCUAGUGUCCUAGUGCAUUCUCUCCCUCUGUGCAAUUGCUUGAAGUAAUAAAGUGUAUCUGAUUUGCU
Chelonia mydas (Green sea turtle) is the source of this 2828-nucleotide long non-coding RNA. RefSeq lists it as uncharacterized. Lineage: Eukaryota; Metazoa; Chordata; Testudines; Cheloniidae. The record is from RefSeq and is a predicted model, not a curated record. The transcript has 4 exons.